GAAAUGCGAUAAGUAAUGUGAAUUGCAGAAUUCAGUGAAUCAUCGAAUCUUUGAACGCACAUUGCGCCCGCCAGUAUUCUGGCGGGCAUGCCUGUUCGAGCGUCAUUACAACCCUCAGGCCCCCGGGCCUGGCGUUGGGGAUCGGCGGAAGCCCCCUGCGGGCACAACGCCGUCCCCCAAAUACAGUGGCGGUCCCGCCGCAGCUUCCAUUGCGUAGUAGCUAACACCUCGCAACUGGAGAGCGGCGCGGCCACGCCGUAAAACACCCAACUUCUGAAUGUUGACCUCGCAUCAGGUAGGAAUACCCGCUGAAGAUAAGC
This 320-nucleotide unclassified non-coding RNA is filed under the name plant metagenome. RNAcentral describes it as "partial contains 5.8S ribosomal RNA, internal transcribed spacer 2, and large subunit ribosomal RNA". The stretch from base 1 to 105 matches the Rfam family "5.8S ribosomal RNA", at positions 50 to 154 of the family's 154-position model. The record is from RNAcentral.